UAGCACAGAGUAAUACGGGCUAUAUUUUAUAUAGCCUAUAUUACUCUGUGCUGUAGCUUACCAAUGGUGAAAGAUUUUUUAUAAUCAGUCCAGUAGUAUUUGUGUUAGAUUGUAAGAAACAAAUAAUAUUAUCUAAAGAUCGGUCACUGUCAUCCUAAGAACCUAAAUUAAACCAUUGAAUAUUAUUUACUUGUCUUGGCAGCUUUAAACUUUUAUGCCAAUGGAUCAUACAAAUGGCUUUGUGAUGGCUAAGGCAUCUUUUAGCAAAUGCCUACAUGAAGUCGCUGACGCUCCUGAAUACCCCAGCUGUUUAAAAAAAAUGUGUUAAGUUCCCUUUGCAUUAAACACAAAAUCAUUAUAAAUAAAUAUAUUUGAUGCCAAUCUAAUAAUAACAUAGUGGAUGCUCAAUUUGGUGGUGCAUCUUAUGACUUGUAAAUAUGGAACAGGUGCAAUAAGACCACUUGAGGAAAACCUGCCCAAUAGGGACCGCUGUUGGUUGUUAGGUGACCAAUGUUUGCAUGAUGACCCCCAUCUUGGGAGCUGCUCCUAGAUCCCAUGAAGAUAUGCACAACAUUGCUGUGUCAGAAAUACGGUGGAGCCUUGUAGUUGGGUGCAUAUUGUAAAAUGUUUCCUCACUCCAAAACCAUGAACUCUGGUUUCCUAAACCCUCAAGCUAUGCAGCCGAAGGAGGAGACUUAUCACAGGAGAAUCACUAAUAAUUUUGAAGAAGUGAAGAGCUUAACAAUGUUUCAACGAACACCUAAAGAAGCUUUCACUUGGCUGUUAGAUCAAGGGCUGGAUACAGAAAACAGUAAUCCUUGUGAUGGCAGUAUUGUCCAAGGAUUCCUCACUCAAAACCAUGAUAACAAGUUGCUAGAACCCUCAAGCUAUGCAGACAAAGGACUGGAUAUAUUUUUUCGUGACCGUAUAAUUAUUUAUACUUAAACCAUACAAAGCACUAUCUAGCCCCAAAGUAGGCAUACAGAGUAGCUUGUGUUGUGGGUACUAAGAUAGUUGAUAUUAUAAUAUUCAUUUACAUUUAUAUACUACCUAUAAAUACUUAUAUAAUGUAUAAAUACACACACACUGGAAAAAACCCAUGCUCUUCACACAAAUAUUUUCCAGGUGUGGGAAUCGAACCCAUGACCGUGGAUGCAGGAGCACUACUUACUGCGCCACGCGUAUGUGUUUUUAUUUUGAAGCAAAUUAUUAAAGUUGAUAAUUCAAAUUGUA
This is a long non-coding RNA of Bicyclus anynana (squinting bush brown), 1233 nucleotides long. RefSeq lists it as uncharacterized. The record is from RefSeq and is a predicted model, not a curated record. The transcript has 4 exons. NCBI's taxonomy places the organism in Eukaryota, Metazoa, Arthropoda, Insecta, Lepidoptera, Nymphalidae.